UCGUUUCUAGUAAUUUUGAGCAACGAAACUUUUAUUGUGAAUACAAAACAUUCUAUUUGAAAGUUUUUCCAUCAACAAAACAUUGUAGCUUUGAAAGCGAAAAUUUUUCAAAUGAGAGAUGAAAUAAUCUUAAAUCAACUUUUCAUUUUAUUGAUUUGGCAACACAAACAGGAAUAAUCUGGCAACUAUACGAGCUGUCAAUGACUGGACUUGAAAAAUCUCUCCAUUUCAAAAAAAGCAAGUGCUGCUCCUUCGACGAAGUAAAUUGAUCCACAGAUGUUGGAAGAGCACAGCUGGACUCUGGAAAUUUCAUUAAGAGGAUAAAACAUCCGCGGCAAAAUCCCGCCGGAACACCGAAAAAUGGCUGCAAAAAGAGAAGUUGACCGCUACCACCUUUAAACGCGACCCUGCGGCACAUUAUUUAGAAUAUACAAACCAUGCUGAUUGCAAAACGAUCAAAAAUAUAAUAAAAUGGAAAUAAAAUAAUGAA
Molecule: long non-coding RNA, 490 nt
Organism: Armigeres subalbatus
Lineage: Eukaryota; Metazoa; Arthropoda; Insecta; Diptera; Culicidae
Exons: 2
Source: RefSeq, a predicted model, not a curated record